GGGGAUAUAAUUUAAUUGGUAGAAUAUUGAUUUUGCAUAUCAAAAAUAUUGGUUCAAUUCCAAUUAUCUCCA
This 72-nucleotide transfer RNA is filed under the name Blastobotrys adeninivorans. Its description in RNAcentral is "tRNA-Ala". It matches the Rfam family "tRNA". From Rfam's summary of the family: Transfer RNA (tRNA) molecules are approximately 80 nucleotides in length. Their secondary structure includes four short double-helical elements and three loops (D, anti-codon, and T loops). The record is from RNAcentral. Lineage: Eukaryota; Fungi; Ascomycota; Dipodascomycetes; Dipodascales; Trichomonascaceae.